This 497-nucleotide ribosomal RNA is filed under the name uncultured bacterium. Its description in RNAcentral is "partial 16S ribosomal RNA". It matches the Rfam family "Bacterial small subunit ribosomal RNA", at positions 28 to 507 of the family's 1533-position model. The record is from RNAcentral.
GAUGAACGCUGGCGGCGUGCCUAAUACAUGCAAGUCGAGCGAACAGACGAGGAGCUUGCUCCUCUGACGUUAGCGGCGGACGGGUGAGUAACACGUGGAUAACCUACCUAUAAGACUGGGAUAACUUCGGGAAACCGGGGCUAAUACCGGAUAACAUGUUGAACCGCAUGGUUCAACAGUGAAAGACGGUCUUGCUGUCACUUAUAGAUGGAUCCGCGCCGCAUUAGCUAGUUGGUAAGGUAACGGCUUACCAAGGCAACGAUGCGUAGCCGACCUGAGAGGGUGAUCGGCCACACUGGAACUGAGACACGGUCCAGACUCCUACGGGAGGCAGCAGUAGGGAAUCUUCCGCAAAGGGCGAAAGCCUGACGGAGCAACGCCGCGUGAGUGAUGAAGGUCUUCGGAUCGUAAAACUCUGUUAUUAGGGAAGAACAAAUGUGUAAGUAACUAUGCACGUCUUGACGGUACCUAAUCAGAAAGCCACGGCUAACUACGUG